This 446-nucleotide ribosomal RNA is filed under the name uncultured bacterium. RNAcentral describes it as "partial 16S ribosomal RNA". It matches the Rfam family "Bacterial small subunit ribosomal RNA", at positions 338 to 795 of the family's 1533-position model. The record is from RNAcentral.
CCUACGGGGGGCAGCAGUCGAGAAUCAUUCACAAUGGGGGAAACCCUGAUGGUGCGACGCCGCGUGGGGGAACGAAGGUCUUCGGUUUGUAAACCCCUGUCAUGUGGGAGCAAAUUAAAAAGAUAGUACCACAAGAGGAAGAGACGGCUAACUCUGUGCCAGCAGCCGCGGUAAUACGGAGGUCUCAAGCGUUGUUCGGAAUCACUGGGCGUAAGGCGUGCGUAGGCGGUUACGUAAGUCGUGUGUGAAAGGCGUGGGCUCAACCCGCGGCCGGCAUAUGAUACUGCGAGACUAGAGUAAAGGAGAGGGAAGCGGAAUUCUCGGUGUAGCAGUGAAAUGCGUAGAUAUCGAGAGGAACACUCGUGGCGAAGGCGGGUUCCUGGACAUUAACUGACGCUGAGGCACGAAGGCCAGGGGAGCGAAAGGGAUUAGAUACCCUAGUAGUC